GAGGAAUAUUGGUCAAUGGACGGAAGUCUGAACCAGCCAAGUAGCGUGCAGGAUGACGGCCCUAUGGGUUGUAAACUGCUUUUGUAUGGGGAUAAAGUUAGGGACGUGUCCCUAUUUGCAGGUACCAUACGAAUAAGGACCGGCUAAUUCCGUGCCAGCAGCCGCGGUAAUACGGAAGGUCCAGGCGUUAUCCGGAUUUAUUGGGUUUAAAGGGAGCGUAGGCUGGAGAUUAAGUGUGUUGUGAAAUGUAGACGCUCAACGUCUGAAUUGCAGCGCAUACUGGUUUCCUUGAGUACGCACAACGUUGGCGGAAUUCGUCGUGUAGCGGUGAAAUGCUUAGAUAUGACGAAGAACUCCGACUGCGAAGGCAGCUGACGGGAGCGCAACUGACGCUUAAGCUCGAAGGUGCGGGUAUCAAACAGGAUUAGAUACCCUGGUAGUCCGCACAGUAAACGAUGGAUGCCCGCUGUUGGUACCUGGUAUCAGCGGCUAAGCGAAAGCAUUAAGCAUCCCACCUGGGGAGUACGCCGGCAACGGUG
Molecule: ribosomal RNA, 539 nt
Filed under: uncultured bacterium
Lineage: Bacteria
Description: bacterial SSU rRNA
Rfam family: Bacterial small subunit ribosomal RNA
Source: RNAcentral